RNAcentral lists this ribosomal RNA (439 nucleotides) under uncultured bacterium. RNAcentral's name for it is "partial 16S ribosomal RNA". It matches the Rfam family "Bacterial small subunit ribosomal RNA", at positions 28 to 507 of the family's 1533-position model. The record is from RNAcentral.
AACGAACGCUGGCGGCAUGCCUAACACAUGCAAGUCGAACGAGACCUUCGGGCCUAGUGGCGACCGGGUUCGUAACGCGUGGGGACCUGCGCUUAGGUUCGGAAUAACUCCCCGAAAGGGGUGCUAAUACCGGAUACUGUCUUCGGACCAGAGAUUUAUCGCCUGUGGUUGGGCCCGCGUUGGAUUAGCUAGUUGGGAGGGUAAUGGCCUACCAAGGCGGCGAUCGGUAGCUGGUCUCAGAGGGUGCUCGGCGACAUAGGGACUGAGAUACGGCCGAGACACGUACGGGGCGGAGCAGGGGGGAAUAUUGCAGAAGGGGCGCAAGCGUGAUGCAGCAACGCCGCUGGGGGGAUGACGGCCUUCGGGUUGUAGAAGCCGUUCGCUAGGGACGAUGCUUGUUGUGACGGUACCUAGACAGGAAGCACCGGCUAACUACGUG